RNAcentral lists this ribosomal RNA (483 nucleotides) under Triticum aestivum (bread wheat). RNAcentral describes it as "partial small subunit ribosomal RNA". Lineage: Eukaryota; Viridiplantae; Streptophyta; Magnoliopsida; Poales; Poaceae. The record is from RNAcentral.
AUGGUGAGAAAGAUGACUAAUGUCUCCUGGCUGAAAGGAAAUUUCAUGGAGACUGUCAAGGAAUGGCAGAAACAAUGGUUCUACAUAACAGAACUCCGCGGCGCAAACUGGGUUGCCGCUGCCGAAUUCAACUCCGGUGCUCCAAUGUGGCUCACCUCUUGGGUUGAGAAGAGCCCGAAUUGGUCAUCGUCAGAUGAGUUGAUAGCGCUGCAGACGCACGUUCAAAGUAUGGUGGACAAGGAUAUCAAGCUUGUCGAUAUAAUCCAGGUGAUGCUAGUUCGCCAGAUUCUCCCGUGCCAAAGCCGAAGCCGUCCUCUAUGGGAGUUUAAUCCGAAGAAGCACCAUAACCUAAAGAGGUUCUUUGAAACUUCUCACGAAGACGCCUGGAAGUUGCUCUUCAAGGGCAACGAGACACCAUCGGCCAUGUAUUCGGACUGCGGGCACGACAUCAAUCACCUCGCCAACGAGGUAUGUUAUUUUUAA